Molecule: non-coding RNA, 73 nt
Organism: Trichonephila inaurata madagascariensis
Lineage: Eukaryota; Metazoa; Arthropoda; Arachnida; Araneae; Nephilidae
Source: the annotation of a GenBank genome assembly
GUCCCUGUAGCGCAAUGGAUAGCGCGUAGGAAUUCUAAUCCAAGGGUCAUGGGUUCGAAUCCCAACUGGGAUG